Molecule: transfer RNA, 74 nt
Filed under: Tetrahymena malaccensis
Lineage: Eukaryota; Ciliophora; Oligohymenophorea; Hymenostomatida; Tetrahymenidae
Also listed under: 1 other name
Description: tRNA-His
Rfam family: tRNA
About the family: Transfer RNA (tRNA) molecules are approximately 80 nucleotides in length.
Source: RNAcentral
GGUAGGUAUAGCUCAAUUGGUAGAGCGUUAGAUUGUGGAUCUAAAGGUCAUGGGUUCGAUUCCUAUUACUUACC